This 1432-nucleotide ribosomal RNA is filed under the name marine metagenome. Its description in RNAcentral is "bacterial LSU rRNA". It matches the Rfam family "Bacterial large subunit ribosomal RNA", at positions 1390 to 2800 of the family's 2925-position model. The record is from RNAcentral.
UGACGAAUCAAUAAUGCUAAGUGUUUGAAGUUGGCUAGCAAUAGCUGAUGGAGCGCACGACCCAAGUUGGUAGUAGUCAAGCAAUGGAGAGACGCAGGAAGGUAGUCCAACCCAGGCGAUGGUUGACCUGGGGUAAGAGUGUAGGAGGUUCUGUAGGAAAAUCCGCAGAACAAUCUCUGAGACUUAAUGCCGAGCCGUAAGGCGAAGUGGAUGAUCCUAUGCUGCCAAGAAAAUCUUCUAGCGAGGUUUAUAGUGGCCCGUACCCGAAACCGACUCAGGUGGUCAGGUAGAGAAUACCAAGGUGAUCGAGAGAAUCGUGGUGAAGGAACUCGGCAAAAUACCCCCGUAACUUCGGGAGAAGGGGGGCUAAUUUUUGUGUAGAGGUUUACCUUCGAAGCAUAAGUUAGACGCAGAGAAUAGGCUCAAGCGACUGUUUACCAAAAACACAGGUCCGUGCGAAGUUGCAAAACGAUGUAUACGGACUGACGCCUGCCCGGUGCUGGAAGGUUAAGGGGACUGGUUAGCCGCAAGGCGAAGCUGAGAACUUAAGCCCCAGUAAACGGCGGUGGUAACUAUAACCAUCCUAAGGUAGCGAAAUUCCUUGUCGGGUAAGUUCCGACCUGCACGAAUGGCGUAACGACUUGAGCGCUGUCUCCACCAUGAACUCGGCGAAAUUGCAGUACGAGUAAAGAUGCUCGUUACGCGCGGAAAGACGGAAAGACCCCGGGACCUUUACUAUAUCUUGAUAUUGGUACUCGGAACGUUCUGUGUAGCAUAGGUGGGAGACUUUGAAGCGGCACGCCAGUGUUCGUGGAGUCAAAAAAUGAAAUACCACUCUGAACGUUUUGAGUUUCUAACCUCGGCCCAUUAUCUGGGUCAGGGACAGUGUCUGGUGGGUAGUUUAACUGGGGCGGUUGCCUCCCAAAAAGUAACGGAGGCGCUCAAAGGUUCCCUCAGCCUGGUUGGUAAUCAGGUGUCGAGUGUAAGUGCACAAGGGAGCUUAACUGUGAGACAGACAUGUCGAGCAGGUGCGAAAGCAGGAACUAGUGAUCCGGCGGUGGCUUGUGGAAGCGCCGUCGCUCAACGGAUAAAAGGUACCCCGGGGAUAACAGGCUGAUCUUGCCCAAGAGUCCAUAUCGACGGCAAGGUUUGGCACCUCGAUGUCGGCUCGUCUCAUCCUGGGGCUGGAGUAGGUCCCAAGGGUUGGGCUGUUCGCCCAUUAAAGAGGCACGCGAGCUGGGUUCAGAACGUCGUGAGACAGUUCGGUCCCUAUCUUCCGUGCGCGAAGGAAACUUGAGAAGGGCUGUCCCUAGUACGAGAGGACCGGGACGGACGAACCUCUUGUGUGUCGGUUGUUUCGCCAGAAGCACGGCCGAUUAGCAACGUUCGGAAGGGAUAACCGCUGAAAGCAUCUAAGCGGGAAGCUCGCUUC